CAGUCGCCGCGGGAAUACGAAGGGUGCAAGCGUUACUCGGAAUUACUGGGCGUAAAGCGUGCGUAGGUGGUGGUUUAAGUCCGUUGUGAAAGCCCUGGGCUCAACCUGGGAAUUGCAGUGGAUACUGGGUCACUAGAGUGUGGUAGAGGAUAGUGGAAUUUCCGGUGUAGCAGUGAAAUGCGUAGAGAUCGGAAGGAACAUCUGUGGCGAAGGCGACUAUCUGGGCCAUUACUGACACUGAGGCACGAAAGCGUGGGGAGCAAACAGGAUUAGAUACCCGCGUAGUCCCUGUCUCUUAUAC
Molecule: ribosomal RNA, 301 nt
Filed under: uncultured bacterium
Lineage: Bacteria
Description: partial 16S ribosomal RNA
Rfam family: Bacterial small subunit ribosomal RNA
Source: RNAcentral